CGACGUAGCUCAGCUGGUAGAGCACCUCCAUGGUAAGGAUGAGGCCAACCCCAGCUUGGCCUUCAGAAGCCCGCCACUAAGCGGGUUUUUUCUGCCCAGCCCGUCCUCGGGGCCCUUCGGCCAGCUCCGAGCUGAUUGGACCGCAGCACCGACCGUUUCGGCGAGAUGGUCGCCGCGGGUGGCGAAUGCUCUUGGGCUCUCCCA
Molecule: transfer RNA, 204 nt
Filed under: Thermoleophilaceae bacterium
Lineage: Bacteria; Bacillati; Actinomycetota; Thermoleophilia; Thermoleophilales; Thermoleophilaceae
Description: tRNA-Thr
Source: RNAcentral